This 1479-nucleotide ribosomal RNA is filed under the name Triticum aestivum (bread wheat). RNAcentral describes it as "partial small subunit ribosomal RNA". The record is from RNAcentral. Lineage: Eukaryota; Viridiplantae; Streptophyta; Magnoliopsida; Poales; Poaceae.
AUGCCUGCGUCUGCGUGGUGGGUUUGUGGGUUCCUCCCGUUCCUGGCGGCGGCCGCGGCCGCCGCGGAUCCGGCGAAGGGGAACUGGGAGCCGCUGAUUCGGCUGCCGACCGAGAAGGGUGAUGCCCCUGCCCCUGCCCCUGCCGCGCCGGCGGCGGAGGAAGGGGUGACGAAGUGGGCCGUCCUCGUUGCCGGCUCCUCCGGCUACGGGAACUACCGGCACCAGGCCGAUGUGUGCCAUGCCUACCAGAUCCUGAGGAGGGGGGGCCUAAAGGAGGAGAACAUUGUGGUGUUUAUGUACGAUGAUAUCGCCAAAAACAGCCUCAACCCAAGGCCUGGAGUCAUCAUCAACCAUCCUAAAGGCCAAGAUGUUUACGCUGGUGUUCCCAAGGACUACACUGGUAAACAGGUCACCGCUAAAAACUUCUUUGCAGUUCUAUUGGGGAACAAAACCGCGGUUACUGAAGGGAGUAGGAAGGUGAUAAACAGCAAACCAAAAGACCACAUCUUCAUCUAUUAUGCGGAUCACGGGGGUCCUGGUGUUCUAGGUAUGCCCAACAGGCCAUAUAUUUAUGCUGGCGACUUCAUCAAAGUGUUACGAGAGAAGCAUGCUUCCAAAAGCUAUUCGAAAAUGAUUAUAUAUGUAGAAGCAUGUGAAAGUGGCAGUAUAUUUGAGGGUUUACUGCCAGAAGAUCUUAAUAUUUAUGUUACAACAGCAUCAAAUGCGGUCGAAAAUAGUUGGGGAGCAUACUGCCCUGGGAUGAAAUCAUCACCUCCUACUGAAUAUGAUACCUGUUUAGGAGACAUCUACAGUGUUUCUUGGAUGGAAGACAGUGAAACUCACAAUCUAAAGAAGGAAACACUCAAGCAGCAGUACGAGGUGGUUAAAACGAGAACAUCAAAAUCAAAGGAAUUCGAUAAGGGUUCUCAUGUCAUGGAGUAUGGUGACAAGACAUUCAAGGACGAGAAGCUUUUCCUUUAUCAAGGUUUUGAUCCUGCAAAUUCCAAUGUAGCAAACAGGCUGCUUUUGCCCGACCUGGAGGGUGCAAUCAAUCAAAGAGAUGCUGAUAUUCUUUUCAUGUGGAAAAGGUAUGAGAAGUUAAAUGGGGGAUCGGAAGAAAAGCAGAGGGUUCUUAAGGAGAUCAAAGAAACUGUGGUACACAGGAAGCAUCUCGACAGCAGUAUCGAUUUCAUCGGAAAGCUUGUCUUUGGAUUUGAAAAUGGGCGUACAAUGCUUGAGGCUGCUAGAAGCUCUGGCCAACCAUUAGUCGACGAUUGGGAUUGCCUGAAGAGGACGGUGCGACUUUUCGAAUCCCAGUGUGGAUCACUUACUCAGUAUGGCAUGAAACACAUGAGGGCGUUUGCAAACAUAUGCAACAAUGGCAUCUCCGAGGCCGAAAUGAGGGAAGCAAGCAUCAGUGCUUGUGGCGGUUACGACUCGGCCAAGUGGAGCCCACUGGCUGUAGGGCACAGUGCCUGA